This is a non-coding RNA of Thamnophis sirtalis, 714 nucleotides long. NCBI's taxonomy places the organism in Eukaryota, Metazoa, Chordata, Lepidosauria, Squamata, Natricidae. The record is from RefSeq and is a predicted model, not a curated record.
AAAAAAAAUGUUUAUUUAUAGUAGUCAUUGGGAUAAAUUAAUUCAAUCUGUUCGUUGUUUUCUUAACAAAAUAGCACAUUAGCAAAGGUGGGAAGGGAGCAUUUUAUCUAGCUACAUGCUUAUAACUUUUCUGAUAAAACCAGAACAUGACUCCCGAUAUGAUGAAACCACAAUAUCUCUAUUGGUGGUUCCUCUGAUUUCUCUAUUUUCCUAAACCUUGCCAUGCAUGCUCUAAUCAUUUUUCUUCCUGGUUAAUCAUCAGUAGACAUCAUUUAUUUCAAAUAUGUGAGUUAUGCAUUGCUGAUCACCAAUAAAGGAAGCAGUCAACUUUUAUUUGGUCCAGGAGUGGUUGACUGAUUCUUCUUGAAAUUGCUGUUUGUUACUAACCAUUUCUAUUAUUUUAUGUUGUCUUUUUCUUUUAAUCUUUUUCAGUAUCCAGGUUCCAUAGCCAUACAUUACCACUAGAAAGGCAACUACUUUCAUGUUUGCUGUCACUGAAUGCCCAGCCAACUAUGAACACCCGAAAGUCAAAUAAAAUGCAAUGAAUUCUCAAACAUCCAAGGUGUAACAUUUCUAAGUGACAAAAGGAACUGGAGAAAACUAACAGAAUCAAAUAGUGACUGAGAUCUAUUGAUUAUGGAAAGAAAUGCAUUAUGUGGUCAAAGAUACUUAUCCUUUCAUAAGAAUAAAUAAGGUAGAUUAAUCCAAAGAGUU